Culex quinquefasciatus (southern house mosquito) is the source of this 278-nucleotide long non-coding RNA. RefSeq lists it as uncharacterized. The record is from RefSeq and is a predicted model, not a curated record. The transcript has 3 exons. Lineage: Eukaryota; Metazoa; Arthropoda; Insecta; Diptera; Culicidae.
AAAGAUGGCCGAAGUAAAAAAAGACGCGAAGUGUUUUCUUUGUACGGCUUUAAAAAAAUAAUGCCGAAGAAUGUGGCAAGGUCGAUUACUGGUCCAGUUCCAGCGAAGCUUCCUGGUUUCCUGCUGUUAGCAGAUGACGUGACACCAUGGAGUCAGUGGAGGAUUUUCUUGGCUGCAGUUGCUGUACAACAGUGUUAUUAGUGGAAUAUCGAGUGAUUAUUUUCGUUAAAUUUUAAUGUAAAAUGCUUACUGUGCAAAAAAUAAAUAAAUAGAACAUA